UCGGACAAGGUGUAGCUGGAACACAACCUCUUCUCAUAAAAUACGGGUGCAUUAUUUCAGAGGUAGUCCAGGGUUCGACUUCGACUCCCUGUGUCUGAA
Mycena vulgaris is the source of this 99-nucleotide non-coding RNA. Lineage: Eukaryota; Fungi; Basidiomycota; Agaricomycetes; Agaricales; Mycenaceae. The record is from the annotation of a GenBank genome assembly.